CGUAGGUGGCAAGCGUUGUCCGGAUUUAUUGGGUUUAAAGGGUGCGUAGGCGGUCUUAUAAGUCAGUGCUGAAAUAUCCCGGCUUAACCGGGAGGGUGGCAUUGAUACUGUAGGACUUGAGUAAAGUUGAGGUUGGCGGAAUUGACGGUGUAGCGGUGAAAUGCUUAGAUAUCGUCAAGAACACCGAUAGUGUAGACAGCUAACUAAGCUUUAACUGACGCCGAGGCACGAAAGUGUGGGGAUCAAACAGGAUUAGAUACCCUGGUAGUCCACACUGUAAACGUUGAAGACUCGCUGUUGGCGAUACACAGUCAGCGGCUGAGAGAAAUCGUUAAGUCUUCCACCUGGGGAGUACGCCGGCAACGGUG
Molecule: ribosomal RNA, 368 nt
Filed under: uncultured organism
Description: bacterial SSU rRNA
Rfam family: Bacterial small subunit ribosomal RNA
Source: RNAcentral